Daphnia pulicaria is the source of this 559-nucleotide long non-coding RNA. RefSeq lists it as uncharacterized. NCBI's taxonomy places the organism in Eukaryota, Metazoa, Arthropoda, Branchiopoda, Diplostraca, Daphniidae. The record is from RefSeq and is a predicted model, not a curated record. The transcript has 3 exons.
AAGCAAUUAGAAGGGAUUCUUGAUGCUGGACUUUUUCUUCCAGUUUGACGACUUUGGCCUCCAGUUGAACCAUCUUUGACUCUAAAUUAUUUUUGAGUUCCACCUUUCACAAAAUCAGAGCUGGUUCAGUUGUUCCUCGACCGGGAAGCCUGCGGUCAAACAUGUCGAGCAAACGAAAAGUAAAAAACUCAAAUGGUAAGGUGAGAGAGACAUUCUGUUUGCCUCAAGUCGUGAUUUUACUCGGAAAAGCAUGCCGUGCACGUACUCGUGAUGCGCAAUUGUUUGAUUAGACGUUCCAUAUUGAUUUUUACGAUAAAAUCUAUUGUAAGCAAGGGGAAUUUUUGUUUAAUGAGUUUCUUUAGUUUACUCUAUCCUAUUUUGUUUGCUUCGUGUCAAGUUGAGCUUAAGAAUUAUUGAAAGGGAAUUUUUUUUAGUCUUUUAUCGAUCGAAAGCUUAAGUAAAUCAUGAGUCAAUUCGAUAAGCAGUCAAGAAAGUACACAGAGCUGAUUUUUUUUUAUUUUAUGAGUUUUAUAAUGCGUAAAGCUAUAUAGGUUUAACC